This 354-nucleotide ribosomal RNA is filed under the name Lysinibacillus xylanilyticus. RNAcentral's name for it is "partial 16S ribosomal RNA". It matches the Rfam family "Bacterial small subunit ribosomal RNA", at positions 1112 to 1462 of the family's 1533-position model. The record is from RNAcentral. Lineage: Bacteria; Bacillati; Bacillota; Bacilli; Caryophanales; Bacillaceae.
GUAUAGGACAUCAGUUAGUKGGCAAUUUAAAGAUGACUCCCGGGGCCAAACCGGAGGAAGGKGGGGGAGGAGUCCAAAUCAUCAUGCCCYUAAGGCCAGGGCUACACACGGGUUUACAAUGGACGAUACAAACGGUGCCAACUCGCGAGAGGGAGCUAAUCCGAUAAAGUCGUUUUCAGUUCGGAUUGCACGUCUGCAGAAUCGCCUUYGCAUGAAGCCGGAAUCGSUAGUAAUCGYGGAUCAGCAUGCCGCGGKGAAUACGUUCCCGGGCCUUGUUCACUCCUUCCUUCACACCACGGGAGKUUGUUGCCCCAAAAAGUGGGUGGGKUACCCUUUGGAAGCCCACGGCUCCGC